UAAAUCAGUUAUGGUUCACUAGAUCGUACAGUUUACACGGAUAACUGUGGUAAUUCUAGAGCUAAUACGUGCAAUCAGCUCGCUUCCUUGUGGAGUGAGCGCAGUUAUUAGAACAAGACCAAUCCGGCCUUCGGGUCGGUACAAUUGGUGACUCUGAAUAACCGAAGCGGAGCGCAUGGUCUCGUACCGGCGCCAGAUCUUUCAAGUGUCUGACUUAUCAGCUUGUUGUUAGGUUAUGUUCCUAACAAGGCUUUUACGGGUAACGGGGUAUCAGGGUCCGAUACCGGAGAGGGAGCCUGAGAAACGGCUACCACAUCUAAGGAAGGCAGCAGGCGCGCAAAUUACCCACUCCCGGCACGGGGAGGUAGUGACGAAAAAUAACGAUGCGAGAGCUAUAAAGUUUCUCGUAAUCGGAAUGGGUACACUUUAAAUCCUUUAACGAGGAUCUAUUGGAGGGCAAGUCUGGUGCCAGCAGCCGCGGUAAUUCCAGCUCCAAUAGCGUAUAUUAAAGUUGCUGCGGUUAAAAAGCUCGUAGUUGGAUCUGGGUAGCUGGACGGAUGGUAUGCUUAACUGUGUUACUAUCUGUUCGGCACCACAAGCCGGUCAUGUCUUGCAUGCUCUUCACUGGGUGUGCUUGGCGCCCGGAACGUUUACUUUGAAAAAAUUAGAGUGCUCAAAGCAGGCGUACGGCCUUGCAUAAUGGUGCAUGGAAUAAUGGAAUAGGACCUCGGUUCUAUUUUGUUGGUUUUCGGAACUCGAGGUAAUGAUUAAUAGGAACAGACGGGGGCAUU
Molecule: ribosomal RNA, 791 nt
Filed under: Richtersius coronifer
Lineage: Eukaryota; Metazoa; Tardigrada; Eutardigrada; Parachela; Richtersiusidae
Description: SSU rRNA
Rfam family: Eukaryotic small subunit ribosomal RNA
Source: RNAcentral